CUAGCAGUUGUGAACGCGAGCGGUGAAUCGUUCACUUGUGAACGCUUCACCAGUGAACGUACACGAUUUUUACAUAAUCCACCCCCAGGAUGAGCUUUAAACCUAUAGAAUAUAGAUAUUACUCUAUAUCUAUAGGACCCACAAUAAACGUAUACUCAAUAGGUUACGGAAUUGGAACCGUAUUCCCUUUCGCUCAAAAAAUAUAAACCAAAAAUUUAUAUUUUUUUAUAUGUUCAGCUUUCGCCUAGAGCUUAGGACCGGUGUGUAACAACUCACCUGCCGAAACAACUAGCCCUUAAAAUGGAUGGCGCUCAAGUCGUCUGCCUAUACAUAGCCGUUACAAUAGAUGUUAUAUAUGAGCAAUUGUAUAUAAUAUGAAAUUGUAAUGAGUAGGAGGGUACAAUGGUGUGCUUUGAAGUGUUGGACGUAAGUCCACAUGGAGCCGCCAUUGGCACAGAUCUUG
This 463-nucleotide ribosomal RNA is filed under the name Phlebotomus papatasi. RNAcentral describes it as "eukaryotic large subunit ribosomal RNA". It matches the Rfam family "Eukaryotic large subunit ribosomal RNA", at positions 1251 to 1453 of the family's 3401-position model. Lineage: Eukaryota; Metazoa; Arthropoda; Insecta; Diptera; Psychodidae. The record is from RNAcentral.